Molecule: ribosomal RNA, 354 nt
Filed under: uncultured Geobacillus sp.
Lineage: Bacteria; Bacillati; Bacillota; Bacilli; Caryophanales; Anoxybacillaceae
Description: bacterial SSU rRNA
Rfam family: Bacterial small subunit ribosomal RNA
Source: RNAcentral
CAGGGUGACAGGUGGUGCAUGGUUGUCGUCAGCUCGUGUCGUGAGAUGUUGGGUUAAGUCCCGCAACGAGCGCAACCCUCGCCUCUAGUUGCCAGCAUUCGGUUGGGCACUCUAGAGGGACUGCCGGCGACAAGUCGGAGGAAGGUGGGGAUGACGUCAAAUCAUCAUGCCCCUUAUGACCUGGGCUACACACGUGCUACAAUGGGCGGUACAAAGGGCUGCGAACCCGCGAGGGGGAGCGAAUCCCAAAAAGCCGCUCUCAGUUCGGAUUGCAGGCUGCAACUCGCCUGCAUGAAGCCGGAAUCGCUAGUAAUCGCGGAUCAGCAUGCCGCGGUGAAUACGUUCCCGGGCCUU